AGGAGGAAUAUCACAGAAGCGAAGUGCAAUUCUCAUCAUGUCAUAUCAAGAGCACACACUAACAACAUGACUUAUUGCUGAAUAUUGAACUUGAUCACCUGGCUGAGGUAGUGUUUGCCAGAUUUCUCUGUAAAGGUGAAUAAACUGACACUGGAACAUUCAGGAACUUCUUCGUGGUCAUGGUCACCCAGCUAGAGUGUGGAAGCCAGGCUGUCUGAUUCCACGAUCUGUGUUCUUAAUCCUAUGCAUAAGGAAGCCAUAAUGAGGCAACCACUAUUUUUAAGAUUCACAGAUGUUCGGGCCCAAUUCACCAGAAUGCCAAGUUAUACAGAGUUGUGGAAUCAAAACUGCAAUUAGUAAUAAAAUGUGAUGCUCUCUGGAACGUUUUUCAUACAUAUAUAUGCUUCUUGGGACUCUCUCUGAAGGUUAAGAGAAAUUGAGAAACGAUGGAGAAUUUAAGUGUUUUAGAUCCUACAUACAUUAGACUUAAAAAUAGUAACUAUAUACAUGAGUAUUUAUAAACUUAAGAAUGAACAUAACAUGAACCAUGUGGCACCUAUAAAAUGAAAAUAAAAUACCUACAAACCAACUGAGAGCAAUAAAAGAAGCUUUAAGGACUUUCA
Molecule: long non-coding RNA, 623 nt
Organism: Mandrillus leucophaeus (drill)
Lineage: Eukaryota; Metazoa; Chordata; Mammalia; Primates; Cercopithecidae
Exons: 2
Source: RefSeq, a predicted model, not a curated record